Molecule: RNA transcript, 1010 nt
Organism: Cucumis melo (muskmelon)
Lineage: Eukaryota; Viridiplantae; Streptophyta; Magnoliopsida; Cucurbitales; Cucurbitaceae
Gene name: UPF0161 protein At3g09310
Exons: 5
Source: RefSeq, a predicted model, not a curated record
UCAUAGUAAACACUAGUGUAAAAUUACGGAGAACAAUCCAAUUAUAUUAUGAUUCAGUUCCCAUUAGUAUUCUUCAUCGAAAAUCCAUGACCUAAAGUAAAUAUCUUUUUUUUUUUUAAGAAAAAAAAGUUGAACUUCAUUUGCGUUGGCAGUAACUGUAAGAGCAGAUUGACAUGGCGGUUCUUCCCACCACAAACUGCAACACACCCCAAAACCUGAACCCAAUCUUCUUCACCGGCCGCUGCCAUCAACGGCCCUUCUUUGCCGCCGGCUUCAGUAUUCGUUUUAAUUGCCGGAAGCUCCGUCGCCCGUUAAUCCUAAGCCAAACGCGCGCCACAUCGAAGUCAAGCGCGAACAGCGACCAAGAUGGCGAAGUGGACAAUUUGGGGGUUAAAGCUGCACUGUCCAUGCUUAAAUUCUACAAACGAGAAAUCUCGCCGCUAUUGCCAAAUAGUUGUCGCUAUUUACCUACAUGUAGUGAGUAUUCGAUGCAAGCUUACAAGAAAUACGGUGUUGCCAAGGGUACUGUCUUGACUGCUUGGCGUCUCUGUCGCUGCAAUCCCCUUGGUGGAUCUGGGUUUGAUCCUCCUCGGUGGUUUGAUGAAGAAAGAUUGCCAGAACCAGAAGAUUGACAAUUUCAAAUGCUUUGUUAGUAUAUGAUACGGACUAAGAAUACAAGUUUACUUCGAUGAGUUUUUCAGUUUUCUUUCCUGAUAUUGCAUUCUUAGGAGAAGGGUUGUGUUGGCUAAUGUGUUGGUUGAUUGUUGGGGGUGAAUUUGUGAGAGCUAACUCCCUGUGCAGAGCGAAGAAUGUUGUAGAAAUUAGCAUGUUACACGAAUAUUUUUGUAACUGGAGUUGUGAAUGUGGAACUUGUUCUGAGAAUAUAACAUAAUAUAUAUGUUAGAUUACAAUUGUGCUACGUUGACUUUAGCUUAUACCGAUCAUAUUAAAUGUACAAUAUCUCUGUUUUUCUAUUAGAAUUAGUACAUGAUAUAGUCUUUUUUUUAGCA